This 114-nucleotide small nuclear RNA is filed under the name Smittium mucronatum. RNAcentral describes it as "U5 spliceosomal RNA". It matches the Rfam family "U5 spliceosomal RNA". Rfam says of the family: U5 RNA is a component of both types of known spliceosome. The precise function of this molecule is unknown, though it is known that the 5' loop is required for splice site selection and p220 binding, and that both the 3' stem-loop and the Sm site are important for Sm protein binding and cap methylation. The record is from Rfam by way of RNAcentral. Lineage: Eukaryota; Fungi; Kickxellomycota; Harpellomycetes; Harpellales; Legeriomycetaceae.
UAUCCCAUUUUCUUGUGCAUAACGUAUACGCGCCUCGCCUUUUACUAGACGCGUCCGUGUAUGGGGAAUAUUUUGGGAGUUAUAAAUUUUUGGCAACACUUACUUGAUAAUGUG